This 895-nucleotide ribosomal RNA is filed under the name uncultured organism. RNAcentral describes it as "bacterial SSU rRNA". It matches the Rfam family "Bacterial small subunit ribosomal RNA", at positions 552 to 1431 of the family's 1533-position model. The record is from RNAcentral.
UACUGGGCGUAAAGAGAAGCGUAGNCGGCUCGAUAAGUUUGCUGUUAAUCUUCCGGCUCAACCGGAAACAAGCACCGAAAACUAUCGAGAUUGAGUCGAGUAGGGAAGAGGGGAAUUCCUGGUGGACCGGUUAAAUGCGUAGAUAUCAGGGGGAAUACCAAGGGCGAAGGCACCUCUUUGGACUCGUACUGACGCUGAGGCUCGAAAGCGUGGGUAGCAAAACGGAUUAGAUACCCGUGUAGUCCACGCCGUAAACGAUCCCUGUUAGAUGUAUGUUUUGUCUGUUUAUUUUUCCUUCGGGAAGGGUAAAGGGCAAGAUGUGUGUCGUAGUUAACGCGUUAAACAGGGCGCCUGGGAAGUACGGCCGCAAGGCUAAAACCCAAAGGAAUUGACGGGGACCCGCACAAGCAGUGGAGCGCCUGGUUUAAUUCGAUGGUCAGCGAAGAACCUCACCUAGGCUUGAACUGUAGCUGCACACUCCCAGAAACGGGAGAAUCCUUCGAGGGUGCUACAGAGGUGCUGCAUGGCUGUCGUCAGCUCGUGUCGUGAGAUGUAGGGUUAAGUCCCACAACGAGCGCAACCCCUAUUCAGUGUUAUAAUUACUCUGAAGACUGCCCUGUCCACACGGGGAGGAAGGAGGGGACGACGUCCAGUCAUCAUGUCCCUUAUGUCUAGGGCUACACAGACGCUACAAUGGCCGGUACAAUGGGUUGCCAAACCGCGAGGUGGAGCCAAUCCCAUCAAAGCCGGUCCCAGUUCGGAUUGCAGUCUGCAACUCGACUGCAUGAAGUUGGAAUUGCUAGUAAUCGCGAAUCAGCACGUCGCGGUGAUACGUUCUCGGGUCUUGUACACACCGCCCGUCAGGGCACGGGAGUCGCUCUUGCUCGAAGUUCCC